Cercocebus atys (sooty mangabey) is the source of this 300-nucleotide long non-coding RNA. RefSeq lists it as uncharacterized. The record is from RefSeq and is a predicted model, not a curated record. The transcript is spliced from 3 exons. NCBI's taxonomy places the organism in Eukaryota, Metazoa, Chordata, Mammalia, Primates, Cercopithecidae.
UGGUGGCUUAAACCUAGCUGUCCACAUUUCACUAUCUGAAGAGCAGAAAAUGUGUUAACAGAAGCCUGGUGAGCAUAGGAGACUGAAGAUGGAGAGAGAGCCUGGACCUCAACAUGAGCAUUUGGAGCCAUUUGGCAGCAUUAGGCUGUGACCACUUGGAGAACCGAAAGCAAGAAGGCCCUGGGCAGAUGUUGUCAUCGUGAUACUGGACUUCCCCGCCUCCAGAACUGCAGAAAUCCAGAAGCAGUCCAGCAUCUUCCUCACUUCUCCAGGAUUAUCUCCCACUGUUUCCUAUUUCAC